RNAcentral lists this ribosomal RNA (451 nucleotides) under uncultured bacterium. Its description in RNAcentral is "bacterial SSU rRNA". It matches the Rfam family "Bacterial small subunit ribosomal RNA", at positions 63 to 510 of the family's 1533-position model. The record is from RNAcentral.
CGAACGGCAGCGCGGGGCAACCUGGCGGCGAGUGGCGAACGGGUGAGUAAUAUAUCGGAACGUACCCAAGAGUGGGGGAUAACGUAGCGAAAGUUACGCUAAUACCGCAUACGAUCUAAGGAUGAAAGYRGGGGAYCGCAAGRCCUYRUGCUCCUGGAGCGGCCGAUAUCUGAUUAGCUAGUUGGUAGGGUAAAGGCCUACCAAGGCUACGAUCAGUAGCUGGUCUGAGAGGACGACCAGCCACACUGGAACUGAGACACGGUCCAGACUCCUACGGGAGGCAGCAGUGGGGAAUUUUGGACAAUGGGCGCAAGCCUGAUCCAGCAAUGCCGCGUGAGUGAAGAAGGCCUUCGGGUUGUAAAGCUCUUUUGUCAGGGAAGAAACGGUAGGGGCUAAUAUCCCCUGCUAAUGACGGUACCUGAAGAAUAAGCACCUGGCUAACUACGUGCCA